UGGGGCCCCAGUCCCAUGCAUCUGUUGCCCUCCCCACUGGCUCUGCUUCCUCCUUGUCAAGGUUUAAGGUUUGGUAUCCCAGCGGCUGGGGCGUCUCAUGGCUCCAACCGAGGCUGUCCCGCGAUCUCUCGCCGAAACCUUUUCCAUGGUUAUUUGAUAUUUUGACCAUCCAAAUACGGUUUGACGCGUAUAAGCCCCCUUUCUUCGAGCCAUCGACUGAAAAUCAAACUACACCGGUGUUCAUAACUAUUACAUAUCUGACCCUGGAUUAAACAAUACAAUGUACUUGGUUCCUACGGGAUUCUUAACUCUUGGCUGAUAUGUUUUUUGUUUUUCCCUAUACCUGCUGAGAAUAGACAAAACAUUGACUACAUCGGGAUGGAAAAGGAAAAAGAGUCCUGGCUCGUUCACUGGGUCACCACCGCGCUUUCUUCGAAUUUUGCAUAGAUUGCACAUCCUUUCCAAGGAGCAUUUUUCUUCUACAUAUACCCUCCAGAUGCAAGGCUCGACAGCAGCUGCAUAUCAAGCAGUUUCAGCAUAGCAUCGUAAAUAUAUCCAAUGCAUCCUUUGGUUUCUUAGUUAUACUCCUGUUUCAUGCUUCUCUCCAGAAGAUAUCUAGAAGAUAUCUCGUCAACGGCGCCAACGGCGCCGGCGUUCUGAAUUCGUUAUGCCGCCAGGAUGCGCCCUUUCAAGGGUCGUUCUCUGAUCUGAAUAGUGGGGGCAUGAUUGCCUUAUGGUUCUGAUGUGCUCUACUUAAUACCUAGCAUCUCUAAGCAGUUAUCUGUGGUUAUUGUAUAUUUUUCUCUUAGCGGGUCCUCGUAAUCGUUUCGAGAUUGCUGCUCGUUACAUCCAAGGAAUACCAAUUUCUUUAUGUUUUCUUCUUCGAUUUUUAUAUCAACAUCAAAAUGGAAAUGAGAAUGGUAAAAAUAUGCGUUUGAUGGACCAUCAAAACUCCGUUCAGCUAUGCACUCUUACCUCAUUUUCUCAUUUCUUUUAUUCCCCAGACUUUGAUGUCUCAGAGGCGAUUCUGCUCUAACGGGC
RNAcentral lists this small RNA (1041 nucleotides) under Histoplasma ohiense. Its description in RNAcentral is "hypothetical lncRNA". Lineage: Eukaryota; Fungi; Ascomycota; Eurotiomycetes; Onygenales; Ajellomycetaceae. The record is from RNAcentral.